This 121-nucleotide small RNA is filed under the name Neotamlana nanhaiensis. RNAcentral's name for it is "Tamlana nanhaiensis Flavo-1 RNA". It matches the Rfam family "Flavo-1 RNA". Lineage: Bacteria; Pseudomonadati; Bacteroidota; Flavobacteriia; Flavobacteriales; Flavobacteriaceae. The record is from Rfam by way of RNAcentral.
AUACAGCGCGUUAGGGAUUGCAGCGACAUCCUUUUUUUGUCAGUUCGAGUGUUUUACGAAGUAUGAGUAAAAUGUAUCGAGAACAGCUCAAAAAAAGAUAUAGCGAAAAGCCCGACCCUAU